GACGUAGGGCGCGAGCGUUGUCCGGAAUUAUUGGGCGUAAAGAGCUCGUAUGCGGCUUGUUGCGUCGUCCGUGAAAUCCCGUGGCUCAACUGCGGGCGUGCGGACGAUACGGGCAGGCUAGAGUUCGGUAGGGGAGACUGGAAUUCCUGGUGUAGCGGUGAAAUGCGUAGAUAUCUGGAGGAACACCGGUGGCGAAGGCGGCAUCCUGGACCGACAUUGACGCUGAGGCGCGAAAGCCAGGGGAGCAAACGGG
This 253-nucleotide ribosomal RNA is filed under the name uncultured bacterium. Its description in RNAcentral is "partial 16S ribosomal RNA". It matches the Rfam family "Bacterial small subunit ribosomal RNA", at positions 524 to 776 of the family's 1533-position model. The record is from RNAcentral.